CUCGGCCCCUCUGCGACCCGCACCUGGUGGAGGCUGCCAGGUUUUCUCGUGGAAGAUCUGGCAGCAUAAGAGCCCUCGGGUAGGUAAGAGGUUGGGUGCGGCCAACGUUUGCAAUAAAACGUGCUGCAGGAUGUGCUGGGGAGUUGGUGUGCUGGAAUUAGGGAGCUGUCCCUGCUUAGGAAAUAAAAAGGAGGAAAUCUCAGGAAGGGAAAAGGAAAGGUGUGAGUCCGUUGGGUAUAGAAGAACCUCGUGGUAAACAGAACUCUGCUUUCGUCUUGCCACCCAGGCUGCAUCAAAAGGAUCAUGGCCAGCAGGGCAAGGGAGGUGAUCCUGCACUUCUGCCCUGCGCUGUGAGACCUCACCUGGAGUGCUGCGGCCACAUGGGGAGUCCUCAGUGCAGGAGAGACAUGGACCUGUUCGAGCAUGUCCUGAGGAGGGCCACAAUAAUGAUCUAAGGGAUGGAAUACCUCCCUGUGAGAGAGAAGAUUGAGAGCCGGGGCUGUUCAGCCCUGAGGAGGCUCUGGGGAGACCUGAGAGUAGCCUUUCAGUGUCUAAAGGGGGGAUACAAGAAAUCAGGGAACAAACUCUUUAGCAGGGUCUGUUGUGAAAGGAUAAGUGGAAAUAGUUUCAAACUGAAAGAGAGAAGGUUUAGACUAGAUAUAAGAAUAAAGCUGUUUUUGAUAAGGGUACUUGAAGUGCUGGAUCGGGUUGUCGUGAGAGGUGAUGGAUACCCUGUACUUGGAGACAUGCAAGGUCAGGCUGGAGGGGCUCUGAGCACCCUGAUGAAGCUGUGGGUAUCUCUGUCCUUUGCAGGGGGGUUGGACCAGAUGGCUUUUAGGGUCUCUUCUAAUGCAAGCGAUUCUAUGAUUUAAACUGUAGGGUGAUGAGGUAUUAUAAAACUGAAGAGUGAAGUAGGUGAUCAGACUGACUGCUGGAAACUAUCUAAUUUCUGUUCUUUGUGACCAAUAUGGCUGGGGGACAUCUUCUCUUUCUCCUUUUUCAUUGGAUUGACAGAGGUUGGGAGCAUCCAUUGCCAGUUGCACAAUGUCUUUGACUUAGAGUCAGUGCAGUGAAUUAUUUGAGCCUCUUUUCAUCAGCAGCAUCUACCUGGGAGGACAGUCAUCCUCAAAAGGUGGUGCUGAUAAACCUUGGAGAUGUUUUAUCUUCUGUGUACCAAAUGCUGAAGUGAAGAGAAGCUCUGCCCUGGGAACACUGAAAACAAAUACUUUAAAAUGGCAAUCCUUGGAAUGGCAGAAUGUGAAUUUGCUGUGGAAGCAGUAGUUCGGGACACAGACCUCAGUGGUUAAAGUGGCGUGUGCUGCCUUUUGGGAUAGGAAAGGGGUGAUUCUUCUGGAUUUCCUGGAACCCA
Coturnix japonica (Japanese quail) is the source of this 1369-nucleotide non-coding RNA. NCBI's taxonomy places the organism in Eukaryota, Metazoa, Chordata, Aves, Galliformes, Phasianidae. The record is from RefSeq and is a predicted model, not a curated record.